This 501-nucleotide ribosomal RNA is filed under the name uncultured bacterium. RNAcentral describes it as "partial 16S ribosomal RNA". It matches the Rfam family "Bacterial small subunit ribosomal RNA", at positions 30 to 523 of the family's 1533-position model. The record is from RNAcentral.
AUUGAACGCUGGCGGCAGGCUUAACACAUGCAAGUCGAGCGGAGCGAGGGUGCUUGCACCUUAGCUUAGCGGCGGACGGGUGAGUAAUGCUUAGGAAUCUGCCUAUUAGUGGGGGACAACAUUCCGAAAGGAAUGCUAAUACCGCAUACGCCCUACGGGGGAAAGCAGGGGAUCUUCGGACCUCGCGCUAAUAGAUGAGCCUAAGUCGGGUUAGCUAGUUGGUGGGGUAAAGGCUAGCCAAGGCGACGAUCUGUAGCGGGUCUGAGAGGAUGAUCCGCCACACUGGGACUGAGACACGGCCCAGACUCCUACGGGAGGCAGCAGUGGGGAAUAUUGGACAAUGGGCGGAAGCCUGAUCCAGCCAUGCCGCGUGUGUGAAGAAGGCCUUUUGGUUGUAAAGCACUUUAAGCGAGGAGGAGGCUACUUAGAUUAAUACUCUGGGAUAGUGGACGUUACUCGCAGAAUAAGCACCGGCUAACUCUGUGCCAGCCGCCGCCGUAA